AUGGUUCCAGUAUCUGGUUUGAUUUUGUUUUUUAUGUGUGAACAGAACCUAUCAUGGAGGAGGUUGACAUCACAGACAAGUUCAUGCUUGAGCUCACUUUCAUUAAGCUGCAGCUCGCGUAACCACUAUUUUUACUACUGCAAAGUUGGACAGAGGUUUGCAGUAACAAUCAAGCUCCGUCCCAGCACGCGGCAUCAACAACAUGAUGUUGAAGCAAUGGCACUAUCCGGAUAUUCAUCUAAUUCCAUCGGUUACCGCAACAACCACCUUUUGUUUCAUAUCUAUCAGACCAGCAUCUUUCCCAUUUUGGACUACUACCAGCAAGAUAUGUAUAGACUUUAG
Molecule: ribosomal RNA, 342 nt
Filed under: Triticum aestivum (bread wheat)
Lineage: Eukaryota; Viridiplantae; Streptophyta; Magnoliopsida; Poales; Poaceae
Description: partial small subunit ribosomal RNA
Source: RNAcentral